AGUGAACGCUGGCGGUAGGCCUAACACAUGCAAGUCGAACGGCAGCACAGUAAGAGCUUGCUCUUACGGGUGGCGAGUGGCGGACGGGUGAGGAAUACAUCGGAAUCUACUUUUUCGUGGGGGAUAACGUAGGGAAACUUACGCUAAUACCGCAUACGACCUACGGGUGAAAGCAGGGGAUCUUCGGACCUUGCGCGAUUGAAUGAGCCGAUGUCGGAUUAGCUAGUUGGCGGGGUAAAGGCCCACCAAGGCGACGAUCCGUAGCUGGUCUGAGAGGUGAUCAGCCACACUGGAACUGAGACACGGUCCAGACUCCUACGGGAGGCAGCAGUGGGGAAUAUUGGACAAUGGGCGCAAGCCUGAUCCAGCCAUACCGCGUGGGUGAAGAAGGCCUUCGGGUUGUAAAGCCCUUUUGUUGGGAAAGAAAAGCAGCAGGUUAAUACCCCGCUGUUCUGACGGUACCCAAAGAAUAAGCACCGGCUAACUUCGUG
This 491-nucleotide ribosomal RNA is filed under the name uncultured bacterium. RNAcentral describes it as "partial 16S ribosomal RNA". It matches the Rfam family "Bacterial small subunit ribosomal RNA", at positions 29 to 507 of the family's 1533-position model. The record is from RNAcentral.